RNAcentral lists this ribosomal RNA (323 nucleotides) under uncultured bacterium. Its description in RNAcentral is "bacterial SSU rRNA". It matches the Rfam family "Bacterial small subunit ribosomal RNA", at positions 28 to 348 of the family's 1533-position model. The record is from RNAcentral.
GAUGAACGCUAGCGGCAGGCUUAAUACAUGCAAGUCGUGGGGCAGCAGCUCUGUAGCAAUACAGAGGCUGGCGACCGGCAAAACGGGUGCGGAACACGUACGCAACUUACCCAUAACUGGUGAAUAGCCCUCCGAAAGGAGGAUUAAUACAUCGUAACAUAAUGAAAGGGCAUCCUUUAUUAUUAUAGCUCGCGGUAUGGAUGGCGUGCGGCUGAUUAGGAGUUGGCGGAGUAAUAGCCCACCAAGCCAACGAUCAGUAACUGGUGUGAGAGCACGACCAGUCACACGGGCACUGAGACACGGGCCCGACCUCCUACGGGAGG